UACGAAGGGGGCUAGCGUUGCUCGGAAUCACUGGGCGUAAAGCGCACGUAGGCGGAUUGUUAAGUCGGGGGUGAAAUCCUGGAGCUCAACUCCAGAACUGCCUUUGAUACUGAGGAUCUUGAGUUCGGAAGAGGUGAGUGGAACUGCGAGUGUAGAGGUGAAAUUCGUAGAUAUUCGCAAGAACACCAGUGGCGAAGGCGGCUCACUGGCCCGAUACUGACGCUGAGGCACGAAAGCGUGGGGAGCAAACAGG
RNAcentral lists this ribosomal RNA (253 nucleotides) under uncultured bacterium. RNAcentral's name for it is "partial 16S ribosomal RNA". It matches the Rfam family "Bacterial small subunit ribosomal RNA", at positions 524 to 776 of the family's 1533-position model. The record is from RNAcentral.